This 160-nucleotide transfer-messenger RNA is filed under the name Candidatus Fibrimonadaceae bacterium. Its description in RNAcentral is "partial transfer-messenger RNA". It matches the Rfam family "transfer-messenger RNA", at positions 1 to 183 of the family's 374-position model. Rfam says of the family: Bacterial tmRNA, also known as 10Sa RNA or SsrA, is named for its dual tRNA and mRNA-like properties. The record is from RNAcentral. Lineage: Bacteria; Pseudomonadati; Fibrobacterota; Fibrobacteria; Candidatus Fibrimonadales; Candidatus Fibrimonadaceae.
GGGGGUGCUUUGGUUUCGACAGGAUUCCAGAUGCGCUAGCUGCAUGCCGAGGUGGGCUGGCCUCGUAAAACGCCCGAAAAAGAUAACCGGCACCGAUUACGCAAUCGCCGCUUAAACAGCAGCGCCGAAUUUUCUCCCUCUCCCGCUGGGUGAAGCAUUC